AUUGAACGCUAGCGGCAGGCCUAACACAUGCAAGUCGAGCGGAUGAAGGGAGCUUGCUCCUGGAUUCAGCGGCGGACGGGUGAGUAAUGCCUAGGAAUCUGCCUGGUAGUGGGGGAUAACGUCCGGAAACGGGCGCUAAUACCGCAUACGUCCUGAGGGAGAAAGUGGGGGAUCUUCGGACCUCACGCUAUCAGAUGAGCCUAGGUCGGAUUAGCUAGUUGGUGGGGUAAAGGCCUACCAAGGCGACGAUCCGUAACUGGUCUGAGAGGAUGAUCAGUCACACUGGAACUGAGACACGGUCCAGACUCCUACGGGAGGCAGCAGUGGGGAAUAUUGGACAAAGGGCGAAAGCCUGAUCCAGCCAUGCCGCGUGUGUGAAGAAGGUCUUCGGAUUGUAAAGCACUUUAAGUUGGGAGGAAGGGCAGUAAGUUAAUACCUUGCUGUUUUGACGUUACCAACAGAAUAAGCACCGGCUAACUUCGUG
Molecule: ribosomal RNA, 484 nt
Filed under: uncultured bacterium
Lineage: Bacteria
Description: partial 16S ribosomal RNA
Rfam family: Bacterial small subunit ribosomal RNA
Source: RNAcentral